This is a long non-coding RNA of Anneissia japonica, 571 nucleotides long. RefSeq lists it as uncharacterized. The transcript is spliced from 3 exons. NCBI's taxonomy places the organism in Eukaryota, Metazoa, Echinodermata, Crinoidea, Comatulida, Comatulidae. The record is from RefSeq and is a predicted model, not a curated record.
AUGAAUUGGUUUUUUUUAUCCUCUCCAGGUGGCAUUUUACAUAUAAACAAUACUGAAUGGAGUUAACGACUACGAAGGAAGCUUUACAAUUAAUAACAAACGUGGGCGGGUUGCACACUCUCUCUUGAAUCAGCCACUGGCUACAGCUGUCAAAUUGGUUUUUUUUUUUCGAAAAUACAGAGCAGUUGAUAUGCCAUGAGGUAUUAACAUUUGGAUCCAUAUUUGAUUGAAAUCGCUCCAACACGCUCGAGAGUGAGGUAGACAAAGAAUCCACAAAUAUCAGGAAAGAAUGUCCGGACUCAAUCUUGAAAGAGCAACAGAACUUACCAAUUAUUUAUGGAUAUGUUGUCACUCAUCAAGCUUCCUUCAAAAAUUCUGGAUAUGAAAUUAAUUCAAAUACAGUGUGAAUUUUUUAUCUUUUUAAUAUUUUCCUCUGGAAAAAUCUCGCAAAUAUGUAUUCAUUCUUGUAGGCUAAUGUUUAUUUUAACAAAAGAGAAAAUAACCUGUUUGUUGUAAGACAUGUAAGAUAAUAAUGUAUAUAAUUUAGAGGAUUCAAAUUAGGUUUGUUGAU